GUAAAUGUAGUUUAUAAAAACACUAGAUUGUGAAUCUAGAAAUAGAGCCUAACCCCUCUCAUCUACC
Molecule: transfer RNA, 67 nt
Filed under: Orientallactaga sibirica (Mongolian five-toed jerboa)
Lineage: Eukaryota; Metazoa; Chordata; Mammalia; Rodentia; Dipodidae
Description: Allactaga sibirica (Mongolian five-toed jerboa) tRNA-His
Rfam family: tRNA
About the family: Transfer RNA (tRNA) molecules are approximately 80 nucleotides in length.
Source: RNAcentral